CUACAGAGGGUGCGAGCGUUAAUCGGAAUUACUGGGCGUAAAGCGCGCGUAGGCGGCUGAUUAAGUCAGAUGUGAAGUCCCAGGGCUCAACCUUGGAACUGCAUCUGAUACUGGUCAGCUAGAGUUUAGGAGAGGGAAGUAGAAUUUCAGGUGUAGCGGUGAAAUGCAUAGAUAUCUGAAGGAAUACCAGUGGCGAAGGCGGCUUCCUGGCCUAAAACUGACGCUGAGGUGCGAAAGCGUGGGUAGCAAACGGGAUUAGAUACCCCAGUAGUCC
This 274-nucleotide ribosomal RNA is filed under the name uncultured bacterium. RNAcentral describes it as "partial 16S ribosomal RNA". It matches the Rfam family "Bacterial small subunit ribosomal RNA", at positions 523 to 796 of the family's 1533-position model. The record is from RNAcentral.